AGAGUUUGAUCAUGGCUCAGGAUGAACGCUAGCUACAGGCUUAACACAUGCAAGUCGAGGGGUAGCAGGGUAGCAAUACCGCUGACGACCGGCGCACGGGUGAGUAACACGUAUCCAACUUCCCAUAACUCGGGGAUAGCCUUUCGAAAGAAAGAUUAAUACCCGAUAGUACUUAUAUAAGGCAUCUUAAAUAAGUUAAAGAUUUAUUGGUUAUGGAUGGGGAUGCGUUCCAUUAGAUAGUUGGUGAGGUAACGGCUCACCAAGUCUUCGAUGGAUAGGGGUUCUGAGAGGAAGGUCCCCCACAUUGGUACUGAGACACGGACCAAACUCCUACGGGAGGCAGCAGUGAGGAAUAUUGGUCAAUGGGCGAGAGCCUGAACCAGCCAAGUAGCGUGAAAAGGAUGAAGGUCCUAUGGAUUGUAAACUUCUUUUGUAGUAGAAUAAAGUGACCCACGUGUGGGUUUUUGUAUGUAUACUAUGAAUAAGGAUCGGCUAACUCCGUGCCAGCAGCCGC
This 514-nucleotide ribosomal RNA is filed under the name uncultured bacterium. RNAcentral describes it as "bacterial SSU rRNA". It matches the Rfam family "Bacterial small subunit ribosomal RNA", at positions 8 to 518 of the family's 1533-position model. The record is from RNAcentral.